AUGAACGCUGGCGGCGUGCCUAAUACAUGCAAGUCGAGCGAACAGACGAGGAGCUUGCUCCUCUGACGUUAGCGGCGGACGGGUGAGUAACACGUGGAUAACCUACCUAUAAGACUGGGAUAACUUCGGGAAACCGGAGCUAAUACCGGAUAAUAUAUUGAACCGCAUGGUUCAAUAGUGAAAGACGGUUUUGCUGUCACUUAUAGAUGGAUCCGCGCCGCAUUAGCUAGUUGGUAAGGUAACGGCUUACCAAGGCAACGAUGCGUAGCCGACCUGAGAGGGGGAGGGGCAAGAAUGAAAAGGGGAAAAGGCCCAGAAUCCAAGGGGAGGAAGAAGGGGGGAAUGUGCAGAAAGGGGGAAAAGCCUGGAGGAGGAAGGCCGGGGGGGUGAUGAAGGUUUUGGGGUCGGAAAACUGUGUUAUUAGGGAAGAAAAAAUGGGAAAGUAAAUAGGCAUGUUUAGAGGGACCCGAAGAAAAAAGCGCGGGAUAAUUAGGG
Molecule: ribosomal RNA, 495 nt
Filed under: uncultured bacterium
Lineage: Bacteria
Description: partial 16S ribosomal RNA
Rfam family: Bacterial small subunit ribosomal RNA
Source: RNAcentral